CAAGGGGGGCAGUGCCUACUCAAAAAGUUUUGAUAAGAAAGUAUUCAACAGUACAAAAAUAAAACAGAUCAAUACACCACAAAUAACACUGGAAAGGAUAUAAAGUACAGCUUUUUUUAACUAAUGAUGUCCAGCAUUGAAACAAGCAGAUAAUGUUUCGGACCAUCAAAACACCUGCAGCAUACAGUAUAUAGAGGAUUGUUAAUUAAUCCUGAAGGAAGUAUUGAUUGUGGUUAUGAGACUGGAUGCAAAGUCAAGCUAAUUAAGGAAAUAUCAUUGAUUUUAUAUCACCCAUGGGCCGGAAGGAACCAGUUCAGGCAAACGAGAUCGAACCAGAAGAGACUCCCUGACCUGAAAACCUUUUAAUGAGGCAACAAUAAAAACAUAGAUACACCCACACAUGCCCAUCAUGCUGCCGAGCCCAAAAGCUGAUAAACCGACAAUUAAUUAAUCAUAAAACAAAGGAUAGUGCAUGUGACAAUAUUUAAACAUCUCGCAAUUAUUACAGUACUGUUUCAAAAUUUUAAUUUUUGUUCGAGAAACCAAUGUUGCUGCAGAAUUUGAUGUACAGACUUAUUUUACAAUGGCUUUGAAUGCAACUUAAGCAGAACUUAAGAGUCAGAAAUAAUGUUUUAUAAAACCAUUUCAUUGUGCAGAAUUAUAUUGUGUAAUGUUAUUUUGGGUUUAAUAUUCAGUAAUACUGCAUUAUUGAUUUGACUGCGCUAAUGCCAUCGGAUGAAAACAAAACUUGAACUGACUUGAACUGGAUGAUGACACUUCUGUCUUUUGUAGAACUGCUUUAUAGCUGAAUCGACUUUUGUUUCAUAAUUGAUGAAUUUUGCAACAUCAACACUGUUACUGAACGGAAUUGAAUCAGCACUGAACUGACUUGAGCUGAAUAACAACACCGCUAUUUUUUUCUCUGUCUCUGUCAGCGAACGGUUGCUUUGCCUGUAUGCCCACUUACAAAUUUUUCAGAUAAGGUUUUAAUCAAAGG
Molecule: long non-coding RNA, 997 nt
Organism: Cyprinus carpio carpio
Lineage: Eukaryota; Metazoa; Chordata; Actinopteri; Cypriniformes; Cyprinidae
Source: Ensembl